UACGGAGGAUGCGAGCGUUAUCCGGAUUUAUUGGGUUUAAAGGGUGCGUAGGCGGGCAUUUAAGCCGGCGGUCAAAUGUCGGGGCUCAACCCCGUCGUGCCGUUGAAACUGACACCCUUGAGUGAGUGAGAAGUAAGCGGAAUGCGUGGUGUAGCGGUGAAAUGCAUAGAUAUCACGCAGAACGCCGAUUGCGAAGGCAGCUUACCGGCGCUCAACUGACGCUGAGGCACGAAAGUGCGGGUAUCGAACAGG
This 252-nucleotide ribosomal RNA is filed under the name uncultured Bacteroidales bacterium. Its description in RNAcentral is "partial 16S ribosomal RNA". It matches the Rfam family "Bacterial small subunit ribosomal RNA", at positions 524 to 776 of the family's 1533-position model. The record is from RNAcentral. Lineage: Bacteria; Pseudomonadati; Bacteroidota; Bacteroidia; Bacteroidales.